Molecule: long non-coding RNA, 4566 nt
Filed under: Sorghum bicolor (sorghum)
Lineage: Eukaryota; Viridiplantae; Streptophyta; Magnoliopsida; Poales; Poaceae
Description: long non-coding RNA (SBIC_LNC007383)
Source: RNAcentral
CUAAAAAUAUCUUGAACACUUGUUUAGCAAUUCAUCAAACGGCUGUACUACGUAGCAGGGAAGCCAAUACCAUUUGAGAUUGAGCCCAGCGUAAAAAUGUCGCAAGGGUUAUACAAAGACGUUCUGACGCACACGUGAGCCAAAUGAAACAUUCAUAAGAAAUCCAAUGAUAAUAAAAAUGCUAUCAUAACCAAGCAUUGCACAAGGUAAAGAGAAACAAACAAUUAACCGCAGCAACUUACUCAUCCGAUACUUAAUCGAAGGCAAAGUAUGUAAGGAAAAUUGCCCGACAGACAAAGCAAGGGCAGACUCGACACACCCUAUGACCAUAAUGUUUUUGGGGACUGAUGCCACCACCUAGUAGGAUAGUUACGAGUGUUUGGAGAUCAAAGUCUCCGCCCAAAACGAAUGUUGGAAGAAUCCUCCCUCUACAUGAAUUAUUAAUUUCUUCGAUAUGAAAGGCAAAAACUUCACCAGAUCCUGAUUGGGCAGGACCGGGAACAAACUGCUCUUGUUCGUCAUCAUUUUUCUCCAUUUAAGCACCGCCAGAGCCGUACUUCUUCCCGAAGAAGAGGAUCUGGAGCUGGUCAUAGCCAGAAAGCACACCAGCACCAGCAAUGGCACGAAGAAUGUUAGCACCAGCACCCUUGAACAGGGACUUGGGGCCUUCCUUCUUAAGGAUCUGCUGGAACGCAUCCAAGGAGCUCUUGUACUUGACAGCCUCACCAGAAGUCAUCAUCAUCCUUCUGCGGACAGUAUCAAUGGGGUAAGAUGCAAGACCAGCACCGUUGGUGAUCAGCCAACCCAGAGCGAAACUUGCGAAGAAAUUGUCCUGCAAAAGAGAAACACAUUUUAUAGCACACACCACAAGCAAAAGCCAAAAGAGAAACAUCUUAUAGCACACACCACAAGCAAAAGCACACUAUAUUGAAGGGACAAAUUAGACAAACCUGAAGGUUGCCGGUGAGGACAACUGGCUUGAUAGAAUCAUAGAGCCCGAAGUACAAACCACGGUAAACGAUGAUUCCAACACAAGAGAUGUUAAAUCCACGGUAAAGCCCAGCGAUACCAUCAGAUUUGAGUGUCUUGCGGUAGACAUCCACAAGACCAUUGAAUUGCCUAUCACCUCCUCCCUUGGCAGCCUUGGCGUCAUUGGCCAACCUUGUCCUGGCAUAGUCCAGGGAGUACACAAAAAACAAAGAGGAAGCACCAGCAGCUCCACCAGAGGCCAGGUUGCCAGCAAACCACUUCCAGUAACCAUCCUUGUCCUUCUUGAAGUUGAACAACCUCUUGAAGUAGUCCUUAAAUGCAAAGUUCAAAGCCUAGACAAAGAUACAAAGACAGUUAAUAAUAUAUAAGUUAGAUCAUAACUUGAUCACACAGCAAGGCCAUUAGGAAAACAAUCAGUUGCAUUCAAUCAUUUAGGAACAGAAAGAUCUUGUAGUUUCAACAUAUUUAGAAUAGUUUCUGAGUAAAAAGACAAAAUGGAAGAUGUGGGCUACCUGAGUAGGGAAGUAACGAAUAACAUUUGCAGUGUUACCCCUCCACAAGGAAGAGAAACCCUCAUCCUUGAUGGUACGUUUGAAGCAGUCACCAAUACCCUUGUAUGGCUCUGACAGCCUACCAGACUUGAUCAUCUCAUCCUGGUUCUGAAUAAGCAGCUUCACACGCUCAAUGGGAGCAGCAGCAGUCUUCGAAACAGCAGCUGAAACACCGCCCAUCAUGAAAUCAAUCAUGAAGUUUUUGCCUCCCUUCUCAGCUGGAGCAUUGGCAAAAAGCGGGGUACGCAUCACUGGGACAUUGAUGCCACCAGUAACAGACAUUGAAGGGCUGAAAAGGCUCUGUGUCAUGUAGUUCCUUGUGGCAAAACUCCUUUCAUACGAAGAGACAGAAGGGCAGAUGUUACGGGCCCGAACACCUUCAGAGAAGCUGGAGCUCAGGUGGAACUGGCCACCAAGCUUAUGAAGGACAGUGGGUUGGUUAGCCUGGUCCGCCAUUACCACCUCAAAACUAUUGGCUGCAACAUAAUAUCGAUACACAAAACUUAGUAUAGUGCAUAAAGAGAAACAGAAUAAGAUCUCCACAUCUGUGUAAAAAAAGUAUGUUGUAUAUAGUAAUAAAGCUACAGAAACAAACAAACAUUAUUUUCUGAGCUUCAACAUGGACUAACCACAAAUCAACGCUAGACACAGUUAAUUGAGGUAGAGAGCCUCCAUAUAAACAUUAACAGAUAAAACUAUCAAACAGAAAUAAAUAAUUAAUGCAAUUAUACAUAGACAUUUAUACUUUUUCAUGUUCCAUAACUCUAGUCUUGACAACUAUCACCAGAAUAUAACAGAUGCAUAAAACUGAAUCAACAAAAUUUACAAUCCGACAGCACAAUGUAGUAUGCUCAAACAGUUAAGGAAUUUUAAUAUUCACAGGUUGUGCAACAAAUGAAAAUUACCAUGAUCACCAAAUUCAAUUACACAAAACCAUUGAAGAACAUCAUAGCAUGUCGAAACUAUUAGGUGUGCACUCUAAUACUACUUGCAUGGACCCAAAAAAAUAAACCCUGAAACAAUUACAGUUGUUUCAAGUACUAAUAAGACCAUCUUUGACAUGUGUUACCAAGAGAAUAUGCUUAAUUUUUGCCACUUAAACCUACUAUCAAAUCACGACAGAUUACCCAAACAUCAACUGUGCACAAAAAAGUCAUGAAUUAUGGCAGCGUGUACGUAGUAGAGUGAAAGCAGAUCUAGGGGUAUGGAUCAUGCAAAUCAAGAUCUUCACAUGAUAUAUGUGCUUAAAUAAUAAAGUCUAAAAGAAUUCAACAUUUCAUCCAAAAUCUUUGGGACGGGCGCCUACCGUCAGAUCGACAUCCACGGCUCAGAGCACAGACAGAUCUAACGCGGCACCGUCACUAUCACGAAACAGUGGUCAAAAUACGACAUAUUUUUCCUCUCCCUGUCCCACUUACCCGAUUGACCAACCAAUAACCUCGCGAUCUAAAAUGAUUCCACAAGGAUCUAAAGAUUCCAAGGCUCCAAGCCAAUCGGAGCAUAAAAUCCACUGCGAUGAACACAUCUACGGAGAAACGGCGUAGAUCUCAAGUAUACAUAAACCCGACCACUAGGAGAGUCCCAGCAGUCCUUACCCGACGCAGGAAGCACCGAUCUGAAUGAAUCCCAAAAGGCCGAGGCUACCACACGAACGAUCCAAGCCUAGAAACCGGAAAUAAUGGAUCUAUACGCGACGAACACAGACGAGCAGAGCAGAUCUAUAUAUAACAGCACACAAGGCGGACCGAUCGCCACAAAUAGGAACGAGAGCACGAUCCUAAAUCGGGAACAGAGGACGGGAGAGAAGCCUGGUGGGACGCGAGACUCACCCUUGGGCACCGGAGGCGGAGAGGGAGGCAGGACUGGGCGGCGGCUCCGAACUUUCAGAGGCGCGUCGAGGUGAGAGGGGGGCGAUGCCUUCCUGGGGAAUGCCUUUUUAUCUCCGCUGCGCCGCCACCGCGCGUGCCACCAGCCUAGUGGGGGUCCUCGCGCGCGGGCUGGCCGUCCGAUCGGGCGGGGCCGGUGGAUCCGCGUCUUCCCCGCGCGGUGGGCCACAUGGGGGUGGUUCCAUGCUGGGUAUUUUGAUUCGUCGGAUACGUGGAUCCGGUGCGGGGUGACGAACACCGAACGGCGGGUUCGGCUAGUGGAGGAUGGUGCGGUGCGGAUGUGGUUGGUGGGGAAUGGGGGAGCGCGUGUAGAGUGUGGCACGGCGGAUCCAGGGCGUUAGGGUUUGUUUGCGCUGGAACGGACGGUGGAUGUGCACCGCCAUGUGGGGUUGGUCGGUCAGAUGGGGUCUCCAGGUCCAGGUCCAGCGAUAGCGGAAGAAGGUUGGGGGAAGGCGGAGUGUGAAAGGGCAGCACGGAACAUGGGCUCGGGUGUGCGAAACGUGCAAGUUGGCUGUGGCCUUUUGACGUUGAUGAUGGGAUGGAUGGUCAGUAUUUCUCCUCGCGAAACUAUAACACUUUUGUUUUUUUUUAUAAAUAUUAUUCAAUUAUAAAGUAACUAGAUUUAAAAAAUUUAUCUCAACAGUCAAACUGUAUAAUUUGUUUUUAUUUUCAUCUAUAUUUAAUAUUCAAUAUAUGUGCCACAACAUUUGAUGUGACGUGGAAUCUUGAAAAGUUUUUUAUUUUUAGGGUAAACUAAACAAGGUCUAAGGACUCUUCUAACUGAGGCCUUCCCCACCUGAAAAAAUUUCAUCUAUCCCAUCAAAUAUUUGGACACAUACAUAAAACAUUCAAUAUACAUAAAAAAAUAAACUAAUUACACAGUCUGGUUGAAAAUCGCGAGACGAAUCUUUUAAGCCUAGUUAGUUCAUAAUUAGCCUUAAGUGCUACAGUAACCCACAUGUGCUAAUGACAGAUUAAUUAUGCUUAAUAGAUUUGUCUUGCCGUUUCCAAACGAGCUAUAUAAUUUGUUUUUUUAUUAGUUUCUAAAAACUCCUCCUGACAUCCUUUUGACACAUCCGAUGUGACACUCAAAAAAUUUUCAUCUUCAAUCUAAACAGAGUCUGAUAGGAAACAUCGAA